Molecule: long non-coding RNA, 194 nt
Organism: Hippocampus comes (tiger tail seahorse)
Lineage: Eukaryota; Metazoa; Chordata; Actinopteri; Syngnathiformes; Syngnathidae
Exons: 3
Source: RefSeq, a predicted model, not a curated record
UUGUCAAAUUACUUGCACCUCUCUGCGUGGAUACCGCAUUUGACUCCUCAAGAGACGCUGCAAACUGAUCUAAAAAGAACGCUUCUUUGAUUCUCAGGAUCAAGUGUUCCCAUUGCAGAGAUGGUACUCACAAUUUGCUCAUCGUUCUUCCUUUGUGGGAUCGGUGGACUCAUGAUCGGAGCUUGGUCUAAACC